RNAcentral lists this ribosomal RNA (292 nucleotides) under uncultured bacterium. RNAcentral describes it as "partial 16S ribosomal RNA". It matches the Rfam family "Bacterial small subunit ribosomal RNA", at positions 505 to 796 of the family's 1533-position model. The record is from RNAcentral.
GUGUCAGCCGCCGCGGUAAAACGUAGGAGACAAACGUUAUCCGGAGUUACUGGGCGUAAAGGGCGUGCAGGUGGUCUGUUAAGUCUGGCGUGAAAGCUCCUGGCUAAACCGGGAGAGGUCGUUGGAUACUGGCGGACUAGAGGACGGUAGAGGCGUGUGGAAUUCCGGGUGUAGUGGUGAAAUGCGUAGAGAUCCGGAGGAACACCAGUGGCGAAGGCGACACGCUGGGCCGUACCUGACACUGAUACGCGACAGCAUGGGGAGCGAACGGGAUUAGAAACCCCAGUAGUCC